Molecule: ribosomal RNA, 492 nt
Filed under: uncultured bacterium
Lineage: Bacteria
Description: partial 16S ribosomal RNA
Rfam family: Bacterial small subunit ribosomal RNA
Source: RNAcentral
AGUGAACGCUGGCGGUAGGCCUAAUACAUGCAAGUCGAACGGCAGCACAGUAAGAGCUCGCUCUUAAGGGUGGCGAGUGGCGGACGGGUAAGGAAUACAUCGGCAUCCACUUUUUCGUGGGGGACAACGUAGGGAAACUUACACUAACACCUCAUACGUCCUACGGGUGAAAGCAGGAGAUCUUCGGACCUUUCGCGAUUGUAUUAGCCGGUGCCGGAUUAGCUAGUUGGUAGGGUAAAGGCCUACCAAGGCAACGAUGCGUAGCUGGUCUGAGAGGAUGAUCGGCCACACUGGAACUGAGACACGGUCCAGACUCCUACGGGAGGCAGCAGUAGGGAAUCUUCCGCAAUGGGCGAAAGCCUGACGGAGCAACGCCGCGUGAGUGAUGAAGGUCUUCGGAUCGUAAAACUCUGUUAUUAGGGAAGAAAAAAAGUGUAAGUAACCAUGGACGUUCUGACGGUACCCAAACAGAAAGCCACGGCUAACUACGUG